CCUACGGGAGGCAGCAGUGGGGGACAUUGCACAAUGGGGGGAACCCUGAUGCAGCGACGCCGCGUGGGUGAAGAAGCGCCUCGGCGCGUAAAGCCCUGUCAGCAGGGAAGAAAAUGACGGUACCUGAAGAAGAAGCCCCGGCUAACUACGUGCCAGCAGCCGCGGUAAUACGUAGGGGGCAAGCGUUAUCCGGAUUUACUGGGUGGAAAGGGGGCGCAGACGGCGAUGCAAGCCAGGAGUGAAAGCCCGGGGCCCAACCCCGGGACUGCUCUUGGAACUGCGUGGCUGGAGUGCAGGAGGGGCAGGCGGAAUUCCUGGUGUAGCGGUGAAAUGCGUAGAUAUCAGGAGGAACACCGGUGGCGAAGGCGGCCUGCUGGACUGCAACUGACGUUGAGGCCCGAAAGCGUGGGGAGCAAACAGGAUUAGAUACCCUAGUAGUC
RNAcentral lists this ribosomal RNA (440 nucleotides) under uncultured bacterium. RNAcentral's name for it is "partial 16S ribosomal RNA". It matches the Rfam family "Bacterial small subunit ribosomal RNA", at positions 338 to 795 of the family's 1533-position model. The record is from RNAcentral.